Molecule: long non-coding RNA, 634 nt
Organism: Capsicum annuum
Lineage: Eukaryota; Viridiplantae; Streptophyta; Magnoliopsida; Solanales; Solanaceae
Exons: 2
Source: RefSeq, a predicted model, not a curated record
CCCAAUGCUACACCAGCCCAUCAACCUUAUUCCAGCCAGAGCCAACCUACCAAUCCAAAUUAAAACCCAGCCCACCAAACUUCUUUUCUCCUUUUACCCGUUAGUAGAAACAACAUUAUCAGAAAUACCCACAAUGGUUUCAACCUGAUAAGACACCAAUGAAGACAAUCCAACAAGCAAUACUCCGGCUUCAACGGUGACCCGACCCAGCACAACCCGCAAUCGACCCAUUCUAAUCCUCUCCACCCGUCCCACUCGAAUUCAUACGAGAAAAGCCAAGAAAUUUCUAGAAUUUGAUGAGUUGUCUCCCCAACGGUUUGAAUUCGCGAUUCUCAGAUGAAAUGAUGCAAGGAGUCAAAAGAAGGAAAAUGGGUUAAAGUCUCAUCCUCGAAGCGGCUAAGAGACUUGAAAGUUUCAUUUAUUUAUUUAUUCAUUUUUAUUGUUGUUGUUAUUUAUUUUAUUUAUUUAUUCACUCAUUUGGGCCUCGAAGCCAAAGUUGUAUUUAAUACAGGUAAAGUGAAACUCGAGCCAAAGGUUCAAAAAUUAGACUAGGACAGGUUAUGGGCCAAGGUCCCAAUAUAUAGAUGGGCAAAAUUCAGAAAUAACAUACUUAUCCCCUUAAUUAUGAGUUUCA